Long non-coding RNA from Bacillus rossius redtenbacheri, 246 nucleotides. RefSeq lists it as uncharacterized. NCBI's taxonomy places the organism in Eukaryota, Metazoa, Arthropoda, Insecta, Phasmatodea, Bacillidae. The transcript has 2 exons. The record is from RefSeq and is a predicted model, not a curated record.
GAUACAUAAAUAAUUGCUGAUGUGAAGCUUUGUGUGUGUUUAAAGGAAUGUUUCCAUUUUGCGAAUCAUUGGCUCGAAUAAUUUUUUACGAGCGUCGAUUCCCCAGAGGAAAUCCAUCCCAGGUGCGAAAGGACGUUUUAUCAAAAGUUUUACUGCAUUUGACACACACUGUAAAUUUGUACAUUUACAUGAAAACAACUGUAACACUACAAAAUAGUGUUCGAAGUAAUACUGUCUUUGGAUUCU